UACGUAGGGUGCGAGCGUUGUCCGGAAUUAUUGGGCGUAAAGGGUCCGUAGGCGGUUUAAUAAGUCAGUGGUGAAAGCCCAUCGCUCAACGGUGGAACGGCCAUUGAUACUGUUAAACUUGAAUUAUUAGGAAGUAACUAGAAUAUGUAGUGUAGCGGUGAAAUGCGCAGAUAUUGGGAAGAACACCAGUGGCGAAGGCGGUUCUCUGGGACGGUACUGACGCUGAGACGCGAAAGCGUGGGGAGCGAACAGG
RNAcentral lists this ribosomal RNA (253 nucleotides) under uncultured bacterium. RNAcentral's name for it is "partial 16S ribosomal RNA". It matches the Rfam family "Bacterial small subunit ribosomal RNA", at positions 524 to 776 of the family's 1533-position model. The record is from RNAcentral.